GUGGGGAAUAUUGGACAAUGGGGGCAACCCUGAUCCAGCCAUGCCGCGUGUGUGAAGAAGGCCUUUUGGUUGUAAAGCACUUUAAGCGAGGAGGAGGAGCUCUAGAUUAAUACUUUAGAUGCUUGGACGUUACUCGCAGAAUAAGCACCGGCUAACUCUGUGCCAGCAGCCGCGGUAAUACAGAGGGUGCGAGCGUUAAUCGGAUUUACUGGGCGUAAAGCGUACGUAGGCGGCUUUUUAAGUCGGAUGUGAAAUCCCUGAGCUUAACUUAGGAAUUGCAUUCGAUACUGGGAAGCUAGAGUAUGGGAGAGGAUGGUAGAAUUCCAGGUGUAGCGGUGAAAUGCGUAGAGAUCUGGAGGAAUACCGAUGGCGAAGGCAGCCAUCUGGCCUAAUACUGACGCUGAGGUACGAAAGCAUGGGGAGCAAACAGGAUUAGAAACCCUGGUAGUCC
RNAcentral lists this ribosomal RNA (451 nucleotides) under uncultured bacterium. RNAcentral describes it as "bacterial SSU rRNA". It matches the Rfam family "Bacterial small subunit ribosomal RNA", at positions 354 to 796 of the family's 1533-position model. The record is from RNAcentral.